UCCCCCCUCCCCCAAAAAUCUCCAAGUGCCCAAUCCUCCCCCAAAUCCCUAAGUCCCCUUCUUUGGCUCUUAGCUCGCCAUCGCUCGCUGCUAGCCCUCUCUGGCUCUCACCUCGCCCUAGCUUUCUUGCCGUCACCUCUCGCCCUCGCUCGCUGCUCGCUCUCUCUCGCUCUCUUGCCCUCGCUCUUGCGUCUCACUUGUUGCCUCGCUGACGUGCUGAUGUAUUUUUUCGUUUUGCCGUGUUUUUUCUGUUCCGUUUUGUUGUUCUGUUCUUCUGUGUUUUGUUGUAUUUUUCUAUUCUGCUAGCAACAUCUUUUCUAUUUUUAUUGAUUUGUUGUGUUAAUUUCUUGUGGUUUUUAUCAUGCAUCAAUUUACUGCCUAAUGUCAUCCAUUAACUAAUUGUCGCUAUGCAAUUAUUUCAUUUUCUAUAAUGCUGAUACUACUUCCAGACUUUCAUGCAUCUUGCUCAUAAUAAACUAAUGUCUAAAUAAAAGAGGAAACAUAUAUUGUAUACUUUGGCUGAACCAUUAGGGGAGUUGGAGGAGCGGGUUGAUCUCUACGGACCCAGAGUAAAAGAGGAAACACCCAAUUAUUGCAAGAGCUUACCUCGUAAUUAUUCUUUUGAGGUGAAAAAACACUCAACUAUAUAUCAUAGGAUAGUUCGGUUGGUUUCUAUAAUCUUUCCUCGUAUUCUUUUGUUAAUGUGUAUUACAUCCUUUUAGUCUUUUUGAAAUUCUAUAUCAUGUUGACUAAUAUUAACUGUCGUGGCUAUGAGCUCUCUGUUUUAACAUUUAUUAACAAACUGUUUUCCUGCAAGGUUGAUGUUUCCAACAUAAUCAAUUAUUCUCUCGCAUAUUGGCCAAAGGUACCAUUUUAUAAGUUUUCUAGGGCAUGAAAAUAUAUGGAAGUUUCUUGUAUUGCAGUGAAUUUCUUUUACAAAACAUUAGUGUCUGAACUACAGGUCACUGACAAUCACACACAAAUUGUAUGUCUACAUUGUUGCUUGAUUGUAUCCUUAUCCUCAACUUUAAAUCCAUAGCUGCAUUGUUGCUUGAUUGUAUAAGCUCUCCUAAAGGAAAACAUGCCAUUUGUUCCUUAAAACAGGUCAUGUCAUGCAGAUUAGCAUCCACAAUUUUUAUAUUUGUAAUGCUGCCAAUCCUUUGCAGUAGCAUAAAUUGACAAAGAAGCAGAUAUUCAACCAUAGAUAUUCAAGGGUUCUGUUCAUUAUGCAUGGGCAAGUGUUCCCACAUACCCUAGUGGAGUGAUUGGAUUUCUGAUAUGCUCAAUGUGGAUUUUAUUCAUCCUAUCAAUCCUAUUAAAAAAGUAGAGGGAGGACUGAAGUUUAGAAGAGAGCUGAGGUUUUACAACUCUGAGGAAGCAUUUGCUGUUGUGAGAGAGGCUUCAAAGAGGGUUCUUGGCAUUUGACCAUUUGAUGUGCAAUUGAUAGUACGAUGGAUAGGAAUUGGAUGCGAUUGGAUGAUAGACCAACAUUGUUCGAGGUUAAUGAAACAACAAGACUCUAAAGGAAGCAACUGCUGUCUUGGAGUACAUGAACAGAUUUAUGACUUUAUAGUGUUUUGUUGUACAUUAGUUUUGAAUAGUGUAUAUAAUUGACAAAGUGUUAGUUUUAGUUGAACAUAUUUUUUGGUGUAAUUUGUUAGCAAUUAACACUUAUAUAUAUAUACUACUUUUGGUGUGUAAAUGCUAAUGGAUAAUGAUUACUUUGGUGUUAUUUGAAUGACAUGUUUAAUUUUAUGAGUUUUAUUUCAAUUUGAUAUGGAUAAUGAUAUAUAGGUUUGGUGGUUUAUAUCAAAACAUGAUGUUUUUGUCAUUGAUGACUAGUAACUGUUUUCAUACUAUUAAAAAAAAUAAAAAAAUAAAAAAUAUUUUUUUUAACGAUAGGAAUCAUAUUGUCGCUAAUUGUUCACAUUAUUAACGAGAGGAAAUAUUAUCGUUAUUAGUUUGUGUUUUGAUAACUAAAAAGUUAUUUUUAACGACAGGAAUCAUACGGUCGCUAAUUGUUUAGACUAUUAACGACGGAAAAUAUUGUCGUUAUUGACUUAUAAUUUAGUAGUUAAUAAUUAUUUUUAACGACGGGAAUCAUAUUGUCGCUAAUACAAUUAAUGACGGGUUUAUCAUUCCCGUCGUUAAAGACUUUUAUCCUCGGAGGCAAUAACGACGACUGACGAUGGGAAAAUUCCCGUCGUUAUAACUUUUUAACGACCGAAAAUCAACUUUCAACGACUGAUUUUUCCGUCGUUAAAACCCGUUUUUGUUGUAGUGUAUGCCGUGGUUGGUUGUUGGAGAUUAUGUUGAUGGUGAUUUUGCGAUGUGUGGCAAAAAUUGAGGGCAUUGGGUUAAUGCCGGAUGUUAAUGGGUUGAGUUUUUGUGUGUUUGCCUCUAGGUUCGACCGGGAAGGCAGUGAUCCUAGAAGAACUCGGAGUUCAGGCUGAAAUUCGUGCCGAGGCAGAGAUGAGGCUUCGAUCCAGAUAUUGCAAGUCCAGAAGUAAGCAGGGAUGGCGCCGGGAGGCUGUUGUGGCAAUUAAAUUUGUUGCCCGAGAUGUGUUGUUGUGUAUUCCCUUGUAAAAUUUUUAUACGUAUUCAUGUAAUUGAGUGUAAGCGAUAUUGAGCA
Long non-coding RNA from Diospyros lotus (date-plum), 2632 nucleotides. RefSeq lists it as uncharacterized. The transcript is spliced from 6 exons. The record is from RefSeq and is a predicted model, not a curated record. Lineage: Eukaryota; Viridiplantae; Streptophyta; Magnoliopsida; Ericales; Ebenaceae.